This 854-nucleotide ribosomal RNA is filed under the name uncultured bacterium. Its description in RNAcentral is "bacterial SSU rRNA". It matches the Rfam family "Bacterial small subunit ribosomal RNA", at positions 29 to 873 of the family's 1533-position model. The record is from RNAcentral.
ACGAACGCUGGCGGCGUGCCUAACACAUGCAAGUCGAGGGGUGCCGAUGUAGCAAUAUGUCGGCAUCACUGGCGCACGGGUGAGUAACGCGUAGGCAAUCUACCCUCAGGAUUGGGAUAACCCCGAGAAAUCGGGAUUAAUACCGGGCGAUGCAGCGGCACCGCAUGGUGACAGUUGUUAAAGUCCCGGCGCAAGUCGGGACGCCUGAGGAUGAGCCUGCGUCCUAUCAGGUAGUUGGUGAGGUAACGGCUCACCAAGCCUACGACGGGUAGCUGGCCUGAGAGGGUGGUCAGCCACACUGGAACUGAGACACGGUCCAGACUCCUACGGGAGGCAGCAGUGAGGAAUAUUGCUCAAUGCCCGCAAGGGUGAAGCAGCGACGCCGCGUGAGGGAUGAAGGCCCUAUGGGUUGUAAACCUCUGUAGGGAGGGAAGAAACUGGUGCUAUGCGCCACUGACGGUACCUCCAAAGUAAGCCCCGGCCAACUACGUGCCAGCAGCCGCGGUAAUACGUAGGGGGCGAGCGUUGUCCGGAAUCACUGGGUGUAAAGGGUCUGCAAGCGGACCUGCAAGUCAGAGGUGAAAUCCUACAGCUCAACUGUAGAACAGCCUUUGAAACUGUUGGUCUUGAGUCCGGGAGAGGAUGGCGGAAUUCCUGGUGUAGCGGUGAAAUGCGUAGAUAUCAGGAAGAACACCGGUGGUGAAGACGGCCAUCUGGACCGGUACUGACGCUCAGAGACGAAAGCGUGGGUAGCAAACAGGAUUAGAUACCCUGGUAGUCCACGCCCUAAACGAUGGGUACUAGGUGUCGGGCAUUUGCCCGGUGCCGGAGCUAACGCGUUUAAGUACCUCACC